Non-coding RNA from Manis javanica (Malayan pangolin), 261 nucleotides. The record is from RefSeq and is a predicted model, not a curated record. NCBI's taxonomy places the organism in Eukaryota, Metazoa, Chordata, Mammalia, Pholidota, Manidae.
CUUUGAAGAGAGGCUUGGGAAAAUAUGACACAAGGCAUGGAAUUAUUAUCCCAGGAUGAAAGGGUACCAAAAAGCAAUGACAGCAAUCCAGGGACUGGUGACAAGAAGCAAGACAAAGAAAUACAGGACCAGUAAAGAAAAUUACUUGCCCAAGUUCCCUUCACUGGUGUUAAGAACAAGUGUAAGUGGUAUUUAAUAUAUCGUGCUGUUGUUGUAUUACUAAUUGUAUCAAUACCACCUACAACUAUUACUUUGGGUGAG